This 344-nucleotide transfer-messenger RNA is filed under the name pig gut metagenome. It matches the Rfam family "transfer-messenger RNA". From Rfam's summary of the family: Bacterial tmRNA, also known as 10Sa RNA or SsrA, is named for its dual tRNA and mRNA-like properties. Its role is to liberate the mRNA from a stalled ribosome. The record is from RNAcentral.
GGGCUUGUACCGGUUUCGACGGGGGUUUUGAAGCUAUGGAAGCCAUCCGUGGUCCGGGACCACGUUAAAACUCGGAAAUUAAAAUUAAACGCUGAAGAUAAUUUAGCAAUCGCUGCCUAAUGGCAGCUGUCAGACCUGAUGCACCUACACAUCAGGACUCUGGCAUCGACGAUGUAGGAAACGAUAUACGUUAAGCUUUGCACGUAUAGGCGUAUCAUGAAGCUACUGAAGCUUACAGCCUGUUUGCCGGCGGUAAGCGUAGGGAAUGUCAAAUGACAAACUAUGAUGGAAGAUGCCGUAGUGAAUAGGCUUUCGGACAGGGGUUCGACUCCCCUCAGGUCCAU